This 487-nucleotide ribosomal RNA is filed under the name uncultured bacterium. RNAcentral's name for it is "bacterial SSU rRNA". It matches the Rfam family "Bacterial small subunit ribosomal RNA", at positions 501 to 987 of the family's 1533-position model. The record is from RNAcentral.
CUACGUGCCAGCAGCCGCGGUAAUACGUAGGUGGCAAGCGUUGUCCGGAAUUAUUGGGCGUAAAGCGCGCGCAGGCGGAUUGGUCAGUCUGUCUUAAAAGUUCGGGGCUUAACCCCGUGAUGGGAUGGAAACUGCCAAUCUAGAGUAUCGGAGAGGAAAGUGGAAUUCCUAGUGUAGCGGUGAAAUGCGUAGAUAUUAGGAAGAACACCAGUGGCGAAGGCGACUUUCUGGACGAAAACUGACGCUGAGGCGCGAAAGCCAGGGGAGCGAACGGGAUUAGAUACCCUGGUAGUCCACGCCGUAAACGAUGGUUACUAGGUGUAGGAGGUAUCGACCCCUUCUGUGCCGGAGUUAACGCAAUAAGUACCCCGCCUGGGGAGUACGACCGCAAGGUUGAAACUCAAAGGAAUUGACGGGGGCCCGCACAAGCGGUGGAGUAUGUGGUUUAAUUCGACGCAACGCGAAGAACCUUACCAGGUCUUGACAU